UGCGUAGGCGGCCCGGAAAGUUGGGUGUGAAAGCCCUCGGCUCAGCCGAGGAAUUGCGUCCAAAACUACCGGGCUUGAGGAAGAUAGAGGUAAGCGGAACUUAGGGUGGAGCGGUGAAAUGCGUUGAUAUCCUAAGGAACACCAGGAGCGAAAGCGGCUUACUGGGUCUUUUCUGACGCUGAUGCACGAAAGCUAGGGGAGCGAACGGGAUUAGAUACCCCGGUAGUCCUAGCCGUAAACGAUGAGCACUGGAUUGGAGGGUCCCCCAUAACCCUCUAGUCGUAGCGAAAGUGUUAAGUGCUCCGCCUGGGGAGUAUGGUCGCAAGGCUGAA
This 332-nucleotide ribosomal RNA is filed under the name uncultured bacterium. RNAcentral's name for it is "bacterial SSU rRNA". It matches the Rfam family "Bacterial small subunit ribosomal RNA", at positions 568 to 898 of the family's 1533-position model. The record is from RNAcentral.